GCCGGAUAAAACACGGCUGCACCUAGCUAGAGGAGCCUGGGAGAUUCCUGCGGAGCUCUACCCCAGCCAAACACCUCCUUCCCAUCAGUGUUGGGAGCCUACAGACAUUCCUUUCUCCUCCUGUUUCCUGCCUGCUGAGAGAUGAAAACAACCCACUGCUGAUUUUCCAGAUCUUAGUUUUUAUUCCUCCACUGGGGCUGCUCUCACCAGUCUUCCUAGGACGCAAACGCUCAGAUUUCUUGGGAACGGAAGUCCAUGAAAUAACCAGAAAGGCGACCUACAUAGGAGUCCGCAACGAGGGAGUGACAGACUCCCUUGCUGGCUUGGAGAAGCGAGCUGCCACCUCAUGAUGGGGCCUGUGAGGGGCCACUUGGCAAAGCACUACAAGGGCUCCCCAGGACCUGAGAGCAGCCCCUAGCUGACAAGCAGCAAGGGAACAGGGACAUCAGUCCUGCAGUUACAAGUCAAUGAAUUCUGCCAGCAACAUGAAUGAGCCUGGAGGUGGAUUCUUCCAUACUCAAACCUGCAGAUGGGAACACAGCCUGGCCAACACCUUGACUACAGCCUGACCAGAGAACCAACUAAGCCA
Molecule: long non-coding RNA, 589 nt
Filed under: Homo sapiens (human)
Lineage: Eukaryota; Metazoa; Chordata; Mammalia; Primates; Hominidae
Description: novel transcript, antisense to LDLRAD4
Source: RNAcentral